CCCUUAGAUGUCCGGGGCCGCACGCGCGCUACACUGAAGGAAUCAGCGUGGCUUUCUCCCUGACCCGAAAGGGUUGGGAAACCCGUUGAAUCUCCUUCGUGAUAGGGAUUGGGGCUUGAAAUUGUUCCCCAUGAACGAGGAAUUCCCAGUAAGCGCGAGUCAUAAGCUCGUGUUGAUUACGUCCCUGCCCUUUGUACACACCGCCCGUCGCUACUACCGAUUGAACGGUUUAGUGAGGGCCUCGGAUUGGUCUCGGCCCGCUCUUUACCGGGCGGCGCCGUUGGUCGAGAAGACGCUCGAACUUGAUCGUUUAGAGGAAGUAAAAGUCGUAACA
RNAcentral lists this ribosomal RNA (334 nucleotides) under uncultured eukaryote. Its description in RNAcentral is "partial 18S ribosomal RNA". It matches the Rfam family "Eukaryotic small subunit ribosomal RNA", at positions 1470 to 1796 of the family's 1831-position model. The record is from RNAcentral.